UCUCACCCUCCUAAAUCUCCGACACACAUCUUCAUAACCAGGAACAUCUGGAGCCCAAUAAAUCUCAUUAGAAAAGACACAUACCUCAGUGUCAGCUGGCUGUACUAGCUGACUGCCCCCUCCUGCAUGCGCUGGGCCCCAACAUGCACACACACACACACUUCAAGUCCCUAUUGUGAAGAAUAGCCUUGGACUGAAGAGGAACAUUUUACAUCCUGGAGCCACAUGAUGGCAGUAUAAGCCCUUUCAGUCAAGCAGAUGGGACUUGAGCUCUUCCAUUUACAAGUGCUGGUGUGUGACUGAUGCCAAAAUGCUGCUUAUAAUUUUACACCUCAGUCUUCAAAUAGUCUGUGUCCACUUCAGUGUUACCCUCAGUGAUACAGAGUGGCCACAAUAAAUAUGUUAAUAUCAACCAAAGUGAGAAACAGGAAGGCACAUUCAGAGUACGCCCUAGCCCAUCAAAUAUGCAUGAUGUGGAUGGAGUUGUGUGUCAGCUCGUGUGCAAGUCUAUAAGAGAAGGGAUGAUUCAGCUACAGCAGGGGUGCCUGGAAGCAGAGGAAGAUCAGAGGGACAGCGGAGUUGAACAUUUUACUCACUCCAGUUCACUCUUAACUGGAGACUGCCAAGACUGUGGAAAGAGCGCCUGCACGUGCUACAUCCUGGUUUUCUGAGGCCCCAUGCGGUGAACGGACCAACCUCAGGGCAGCAGAGAGGAUGUAGCGCAAAACCAUAGACCCAAUCGACCUGACUAAGUAUCAAUCUCUUUCAUCCUCACAUCUCCUUCAGUCAGCAGUGCCAGAAUGAAUUUUGAAGUGGGAGGACAUGCAGCUUUGGAUGAUGUAAUAGUUAUGAUUGGACCAACACUA
Thunnus maccoyii (southern bluefin tuna) is the source of this 866-nucleotide long non-coding RNA. RefSeq lists it as uncharacterized. NCBI's taxonomy places the organism in Eukaryota, Metazoa, Chordata, Actinopteri, Scombriformes, Scombridae. The record is from RefSeq and is a predicted model, not a curated record. The transcript is spliced from 3 exons.